GCGCCCGUAGCUCAGUGGAUAGAGCACUGGUCUUCGGAACCAGGUGUCGGGGGUUCGAAUCCCUCCGGGCGUA
RNAcentral lists this transfer RNA (73 nucleotides) under Chloroflexota bacterium. RNAcentral's name for it is "Chloroflexi bacterium tRNA-Arg". It matches the Rfam family "tRNA". From Rfam's summary of the family: Transfer RNA (tRNA) molecules are approximately 80 nucleotides in length. Lineage: Bacteria; Bacillati; Chloroflexota. The record is from RNAcentral.